GCCAUCACGCCUGCCCCGCCCCCGCUCCGUUCCUCUUGCUCUGGCGUCCUGGAGUAGGAACCGGGCGAAUCGCCGCCGGGGCCAUCCACCGAGAGUAGAGACGGAGGCAACUCUGGUGCGGGGAGGUCUCCGCGCCGCUGACUGCGCUGUUACCGUACUGCUUUGUAAUGUCUUCACCCGACAUUGAUGCCCGGGUAACUGGUAAUUGCCUACUUGCCGAGGACGGAUUUCUUGUUCGAUUUUGGAAUGCAAAGAAGUCAAGAGUCAUUUCUGAUGCCUGCACAUUUGACAUUUCUAUCUAGAAACUUGUGUUAGGUGUGUGGCAGCAGGUUUCAGUUUCAGAUACUCCUACUCUUUUAGAGAGCGUCGCUGGAGGUUUGAUCCGCACACUGGAGUUUGGUGCCAAUCUUACACGAAUGGUUGUGGAAGUAGCCAAAGUAACAUUCCAAGCUUUGGCAGCCAGCAUAGUGUGAACAUUCUCCAUCAUCUCUGGGAUCUUCAUUGCAGGAGUACUCAAGUUAUGGGUUCUGUGACGAUGGAGGCAUGGUGGUGUGAAUGGUAGCGAGAGUAGAGGAAAUGGUGGUGCAGAGCCCGAUGGAACCAGUAGUAGAGGAACUCGACAGGCCCCAUGUGAAGAAGCACAGUGAUGAUGGCCCCAUCAGUUCUCCAGACCGGGAGGAGCCUGACAUUGGGGAUCAUCGCAUAGGCUAGAUAGAACUCGAGCCCGUUGAAGAUGAUUUGGUCAUCCCUGUAUAGAACGGAACUCUCCCUGUCCACCUGCUCGAACUCAAUACUACGGUCAACAAUCACGUUCUUCCUGCGAGCCAUCUGAUAGCGAGACAAGCUGAUCCAGAUUUGGUUGUGGAUCAUCCUUAGCAGCAGUGCUGGUAGCAUGACGACAUAUGCUGGGUCAAGGUCUCCCCACCCCUUGGUGGCCACCCUGCGGGCAGUGUGCAGCACUGCAGGUGCCAGGACCAGUCAUUGAUAUGUACUGACUGCCACAAGUGAUUCAGAGUUGAUACAAUAAAAAGUUCGGGCGUCAUCAGGCCAAUGUGAGCUGAUUAAUUUUAGCAGAAGAUUUGAUGAACCCUCUGGUUGGAGAAUGGAGAAGGCUUUCCUAGUACGGUGGAGAAGAGUGAAGCAAAUGGAUCAGGACCGUGUUUGGUUCGCAGGUGAAAAAUUUUUCACCUAGGAAAUCUUGCAUGCAUGACGUACUAAAUAAAGUCUAUUUGCAAAAAAAUUUCACAGAUAGGUGCAAUUUUUCAAGCCGAAUCUAAUGAGUCUAAUUAAUUCAUGAUUGUAACAG
Molecule: long non-coding RNA, 1306 nt
Organism: Panicum virgatum (switchgrass)
Lineage: Eukaryota; Viridiplantae; Streptophyta; Magnoliopsida; Poales; Poaceae
Exons: 6
Source: RefSeq, a predicted model, not a curated record